GGGAAGGACAGAUUCUGAGCUGCAAGACAGGAUUGAGUGGGCAAGAUCAUGGAGAAAUAGUAGCCCUGAAUGCUGAGAUAGGUGCUGGUGAAAGAGAUGCUGUUUACUACAGAGGAACAGGAUCACAUUGGGUGGGACCCACAAGUUGGUCCCAGAAAAGGACAGCAGAUGUUCCAAGUAUCCAGUAGGAAUUUGAUGCUGCCUUCUCUAAGACCAUUCCUGACUGGGACACCAAUUCAGCUGAAGGUCACUGGGUUCCAAAUACCCACAAGAAGAUCCAGAAGACUGAAAGCUUUGAAGGUAA
This 304-nucleotide long non-coding RNA is filed under the name Mus musculus (house mouse). RNAcentral's name for it is "predicted gene, 38997". The record is from RNAcentral. Lineage: Eukaryota; Metazoa; Chordata; Mammalia; Rodentia; Muridae.